CUUCUAACUGUAACUGUUUCGUUUCCUUCGUCCAUCACAAAAACCCGAAUAUAUUCGCAUACAGAUGCCUAUCCUUGUCUUUGAAUUAUUGAUUAUUACACAGUUAAAUCUCCUUGUGUCUCUCUUCGAUCUUUCGUUUUCUGCGUACUUCUAAGAAUUUGGUUUUUCCGGAGAUUCGAACAGAGCUGCUGCUCCUUGUUUGGAAUCCAUUCAAGCUCUUUACUGUCAGAGCUAAUUUUGUGGGUCUUUUGAAGUUCUGGUUUUUGCCCUUCCAGAGCCUGUGAUGAAAUGAUGGAAACUGAAGGGGAAUCCAAUUCCCAUAAGGAGCAUGAGGUGGGUUUAUGCGAUAAAACAGUUAUUCCACCUCCAUUAAAUCACAAGGCUGAUGUUUCAACUGGGAUAACAGAGAAAGCCCCUUCUGUUCAACACUGGAAAAAACAAAACCUCUUCUUGGAGAUACCCUCAAGAACAUUGGAGAUCUCCUCUCGGGAUUUUGUGAGAAUAAAUAUGCCCCCAACACCAAGUCCCACUCCCACAAGAGUGAAUCUUCCCCGAACACCAAGCCUUAUUUCUUCAAGAAUAAACGAGUCCCCAGGUCCCUCCUCAUCUAGAGGAAAGUCAUCUAGAAGAGGCUUCCUACCACGAGUAAGCUUCAAGUACCGGAGUUCAACUACAGACAUUGAGAAGACAGGUGCCAUAACUCUAGGUACUCCAUCAACAGGGCCACGGGAGAAGCCCUUUAUCUCAAGGUCAUUGUCUCUUACUAAGCUAUUAACACCCAGGAUGAAGAGGACAUCAUCCCUGCCUGUCACUCCAAUUGCUAACUCAAACCCCGAAUCUGCCUCUGGAGGAAGCGUUGUUGAUCCCUUGAAUUCGAAUAAGAAGGGUGCCCAACGGAAGAUGUCUCGUUCACUCUCUGUCCCUGUGAACAACAAAGGAAGAGGAAUAAAGCAAACUGAGUCCUUAGGUGGUGGGUUUCGCGUAAUCCCAUCGACUCCGAAAGUGACAGAAGGCAGCACCGCCAUGUCAAAUGCAACAACUCCCUCGGGAGAUGCUGAGAACAAUGAUGCUGAUGGUGAAGAUAUUCCUGAAGAAGAGGCUGUGUGUAGAAUUUGUUUGAUUGAACUGGGUGAAGGACCUGAUACCCUAAAGUUGGAAUGUAGCUGCAAAGGUGAACUUGCACUGGCCCAUCAAGAAUGUGCUAUAAAAUGGUUUAGCAUCAAGGGUAACAAAACUUGUGAUGUUUGUAAGCAAGAGGUUCAGAACUUACCAGUCACCCUGUUACGGAUCCAAAAUGUUCGAACUCUCAAUCCAAAUGCAAAUAGAUCUCGGCAGAGAGCAGUUUCUCAGUACAGAGUAUGGCAGGAUGUGCCUGUUGUUGUCAUCGUUAGUAUGCUUGCUUACUUUUGUUUUCUGGAGCAGCUUCUGGUUACCAAAAUGGGUACUGGUGCAAUUGCCAUGUCCUUGCCAUUUUCUUGCAUACUCGGUCUGCUUGCAUCCAUGACAUCAUCAACCAUGGUGAGGAGAAGAUUUGUCUGGGUUUACGCAUCAGUUCAAUUUGCGCUGGUCGUUCUCUUUGCUCAUAUUUUCUACUCAUUGCUUCAUCUGCAAGCCGUUCUAUCCAUUCUCCUCUCCACCUUUGCUGGUUUUGGUGUUGCGAUGAGUGGCAAUUCUAUUAUUGUUGAGUUCUUGAGAUGGAGGAGUCGUCAGCGCACUAGGGCAGAUUUUCGCCAAGCCUCUCAAGAAGUUUAUACACCCCAGCCUGAAUCCAACCGCCACCAAAAUGAACUCGGAAGUUAAGAAGAUGGCUCACAAGGGAGCUGAAUCAGUAUUCAUAUGACAGUUUAUAUUGUUGUGGUAGCAAAGUCCAAAAGGUCUGGCCUGUACAGAAAGUCCUGCCAAGUUGGGUUUUUUCAAAUUGCUGCACCAAAAGAGGAGACUGGGUGGAGGUUUCUCUUAUAAAAUGGCUUGUGGUUUGAAUAAAUGCGACUUGGACCUAGAAAGAAAGACGGGGGUUGUUCUUCC
RNA transcript from Telopea speciosissima, 2025 nucleotides. RefSeq lists it as uncharacterized. The transcript has 9 exons. The record is from RefSeq and is a predicted model, not a curated record. NCBI's taxonomy places the organism in Eukaryota, Viridiplantae, Streptophyta, Magnoliopsida, Proteales, Proteaceae.